Long non-coding RNA from Oncorhynchus nerka (sockeye salmon), 5617 nucleotides. RefSeq lists it as uncharacterized. The transcript has 4 exons. NCBI's taxonomy places the organism in Eukaryota, Metazoa, Chordata, Actinopteri, Salmoniformes, Salmonidae. The record is from RefSeq and is a predicted model, not a curated record.
GAAAUCUGCUCGGAGCCUUCACCGUGCACUGCCACUUUAAGAGCGCAUGAGCAGUAAGGAAGGAGGCGAUAAAGAGUUCGUUCAGCUCUUUGGGGAGGAGCUAUUGGGUGGCGCGACAGUUUGAUUGUGUGUGCUGUGCUGCAGAGGUGUUUUGUUUUCAGCGUUUGUAGUUUAUAAUGUAGUUAACUCAAUCAUCGGUGUGAUCGCUUUAGAUCGUGGUUGUUUUUGUUUGGGACCGCGCCCGUUAUGGAUUCGUAGCAACAUUGUUGCGAAGCUUUAACAUACAAACCAACAAACCAUCGGACAGUCAGACGGUACACGGCAGGCCUGAAGACCACAGCUAAGAUUUCUCUUUUUCUCUCUAUUUCUCUUCCCUCUCGUUCCAGUGCUUUACCCUGCAACAGACUCUCUAUUUUUCAAAUGCACUUCCCCUUGAAGUUCAUUAGAGCUGGACUAUUAUUGCCCUGCCAGAAGUAUUUUGAUGGACAUUUUAGUUAAAAGGGAGGUUGCUUGCAAGUUGUGCAUUGUUAUGUGAACUGUAUUGAGGUGAGGUGUACUAAUGACAUGUGGCCGAGAAGACUGGACAUUUUUAAGGCCUUUGUUGUGUCGAUGAACACCCCCCCCAUUCAUACCCUCUGCACUCACCCACUAGAAAAUAAUACAGAUUAUUGCAAAUCCUAUGUUGAUGACUGGGUUCGUUCUUGUAUGAAGUUGCUGUUGAAUUGCUCUGCCAUUAUUAGUAUUAGUAUUAUUGUAUGAGGUAUUCUUGUUUGGGUUACCCCUGUGCUGUGAUGUGGGUUUUAUAUGGUGUGUAUUCUUGUUUGGGUUACCCCUGUGCUGUGAUGUGGGUUUUAUAUGGUGUGUAUUCUUUUUUCUCUCCACUGGCUAUCUGGUAAACAGGCUACACUCUAGGCAGUCUCUUCUGCUGAUGUGUGUGGGUCUGGUAGUGGUACUCUCUCUAUUCUACUCUUUUCCUUUCGGCAUGGUUAAUACCUGCCUGGCGCCCGAACAAAAUCUUUCUUUACCCCUCUCUAAUAAAUACCGCUACAAACAUUUUAACCCUAACUUUUUUCCUAACCUUGUCCUAAUUAUCCUAACCUGCUGCGUAGACUGUUACCCAGGGCCUCUGUUGGAUAAUGAACAUAACACUGAAAUACAUCAGCUACUUUACAUUUGUGUGUGUGUAAAUAUGUAUUGGUAUAGUCGGUCAAAAACAAUUUCUUUAUUCUGUAUUCUGUUGCUCUGUUGCCACCUUCUGGACUCCGUCUGACCUGCACAACCUGGUUAAUAGGGACAAGUGUAGCACAUGGAUGUUUGAAACUUCAGGAGGCUGGUCACGUGGGCUAGCAAGGCAGAAGUCCCAAGUUCACGCUAGGUACGGGUCGAAUCGGGAGGAAGUGGUACUCGCUAAGCAAAGCAGCGCGAUGUCCUUUACACAAACAUGGAUCCAGCACCAGCAGAAACCUGAGUUGUCUGUCCAGGCACAGACAGGAGUGCCUGCAUCUGGACAUUACACAGCUUCUGACAGAGCAAGGCACAGACUCCAAUCUCCUGAUGCCUCAAAACCAGAGAAUCCACUCCCACCUGAGACAAACUACAUGCCUCUGGAGCUGUUUGACAGUGAGGAGUUUGACUGUCACACUCCUCAAGACUGGCUUGCCCUAAGCUAUGUGAAAUAAUUAACUGAUUGCAAACCCACACCUGCCAAAGCUCUGCUGGCCUCCACUGACAAGAUACCACCAGGUCGGUGCUUUGAGAACAGCUCUUAAUUUAAACCGGUUGUUUAAAGAGGGAUGUCCCAAAUAUAAAUUAUGGUAACCUAAAGGUUGUGUUUGUUGUAAUGAACAAUGUGCCAGAUCAUUCUUCAGAAAAUAAAACAUUGUUUGAGACAGUUCUCUCAUCAUCUCUGGUUCUGUAGACACAAAUAGCCCCAACCUGGAAAACAGUUGGCAGUUUGUUGAUGUUCUUGACUACAACCAGGAGAAAGGGCUUUAUCUGGUCCAUAAGGCUGACAGGAAUGGCAGAGUAAGGGAGGCCAAGUGAAAGCCAGUCCUUAACAGAGGACAGAGAACUAAAGACAUUUCAUAAUUUACUACCACUUCUAGUGUGUCAAUGCAGUGUGUUGUUGUCCAGCAUACAACAUACACACAGUCUCACUCUUGAUCCAGCUCUGCAGAGAGAACACAGAGGCCCUGCUUGUGACGUGGUGAGGUUGGACCCAGGUGUAGAGAAGAGACCAGACAAGGAAUCAGUGGUUAAGGAUAAACAUAAUACUUUACUAAGAAACGGUAGCCGCAGGAUCACAGAAGGUCAGCGAGGUGAACAGGGAGGUGACCAAGAACCCGAUGGUCACUCUGACAGAGCUCUAGAGUUCCUCUGUGGCAAUGGGAGAACCUUCCAGAAGGACAACCAUCUCUCCAGCAUUCCACCAAUCAGGCCUUUAUGGUGGAGUGGCCACCAUACAAGAUUCUGUGGUAUGAUGAAAGCAAGAUUGAACUCUUUGGCCUGAAUGCCAAGUAUCAUGUCUGGAGGAAACCUGGCACCAUCCCUACGGUGAAGCAUUGUGGUGGCAGCAUCAUGCUGUGGGGAUGUUUUUCAGCGGCAGGGUCUGGGAGACUAGUCAGGAUCGAUGGAAAGAUGAACGGAGCAAAGCAUAGAGAGAUCCUUGAUGAAAACCUGCGCCAGAGCGCUCAGGACCUCAGACUGGGGCAAAGGUUCACCGUCCAACAGGACAGCAACCCUAAGCACACAGCCAAGACAACGCAGGAGUGACUUCAGGACUUCAGUCUUUGAAUGUCCUUGACUGGCCCAGCCAGAACUCAGACUUGAACCCGAUCGAACAUCUCUGGAGAGACCUGAAAAUAGCUGUGCAGCAACGCUCCCCAUCCAACCUGACAGAGCUUGAGAGGAUCUGCAGAGAAGAAUGGGAGAAACUCCCUAAAUACAGGUGUGCCAAGCUUGAAGCGUCAUACCCAAGAAGACUCAAUGCCGUAAUCGCUGCCCAAGGUGUGUCAUGACUGUCCUGAUCAGGUCAGGUUACAGGAGACCACAACCCCACAGAUUAUCUCUCAACCCCAACAGAGGAGGAGAGAUCUAGGGGUCUGAAGAUGUGGGUUUUUUAUGACCCCUCACUCCCAUAGUAAAUUUUAGGCCAUAGACAAAUUCCUUUUGUCCUGUUACUAUGGAGAACCAGCCUCAGAACAUUAAACAUGAAAUAAAGGGACUUUGGAACAAUGGUUUCCGUCAGUCACAAUGGUGGUCAUGACGAUAGAUGGAAUAUGAAAAUGUAUGUCAUCUUUGUUUUGUUAUUAAAGGUUAAUAGAUGACGUUAUUACGAAAACAUUGUAACGUCAACAGUUUACCUAAUAUAUGUCUGAUGUUUAUACAUUGUACGUUGUAUGGAAAAUGUCCAAAUCAAAGAGAAUCUUUUGGUAAAGAUGAAAUGUGAAGUUAGUAGUCUAAAAUUGGAUUCGAGUCAAAUCUAGACCUUGCUCUUAACUUGGUACACCCAGAGAAUUUCCCUAAAGGCGGUUACGACCACUUCUGACCCGAGGGUAUAAAAACCUGUGAGUGAAGAAUUUACAGAUAAGACUAAGUAUAUCUCACUGGUCACCCCCAAAGCCAAUUCCUCCUUUGUUCGCCUUUCCUUCCAGUUCUCUGCUGCCACUUACUGGAACGUACUGCAAAAAUCACUGAAGCUGGAGAUUCCCAUCUCCCUCACUAGCUUUUAGAACCAGCUGUCAGACCAGCUCACAGAUCACUGCACCUGUACAUAGCACAUCUGUAUACAGCCCAUCUAUCUACCUCAAUCCCAUACUGUAUUUAUUUAUUUUGCUCAUUUUGCACCACAGUAUCUCUACUUGCACAUCCAUCUUUUGCACAUCUACCAUUCCAGUGUUUAAUUGCCAUAUUGUAAUUACUUCGCCACCAUGGCCUAUUUAUUGCCUUAACUCCCUUAUUUGACCUAAUUUGCACUCACUGUAUAUAGACUUUGUUGUAUUUUUUGACUAUGUUUUGUUCAUUCCAUGUGUUGUUGUAUGUGUCGAACUGCUAUGCUUUAUCUUGUCCAGGUCGCAGUUGCAAAUGAGAACUUUUUCUCAACUAGUUUACCUGGUUAAAUAAAGGUGAAAUAAAAAAAGUGACCCAAGCUGCAGCCGAGGUCUAAAAAGUCUACGAAACCAAACGCAACACAAGUUUGAAGACAAAUAAAUAUUUUUCUACCCAAGCUACAGAUGAGUAGCUGUGUCUAAGCGGGUGAAUUCAAGUCGAACCACCUAGCCUCCACUCCCCAUCGAAUCAUGGUAUCUACACUGUUUCAUUCCUACGCUGUGAGCUCUGAGCUACAGAGCUGUCUGUCCUCAGAAGAGCCCUUCCAGAGCAAGGGCGAGGGAACAGACUCCUAAGCCAAAAGGACACUGACAUCAUGAGGACAACCAAAGAGUUGCGCCGGAGAAGUGCGUCAUUGAGCAGCCUGAACUGUCCACGCGGAGAAGCCCCGGAGACCUUCCCCACGUAAUUACAUCAUUAUAUUCUGCAGUUUGGGGCAAGGCUAGGGUUAGAAUAAGCAUAGCUGACAAAUUCACCCAAAUGUAUAUUUCUCUCGUGUACUUUCUCUUUUUCUCUCUCUUUUAAAUCCAAAUUUUGGGUAACACGCGCCAUAAUGUGUUGGCCCGUUAUACUAAGUUCUAAUCAAUAGCCUAGAAUGUGUUUUUGUGUAUGUAUAUCUUUUAUCAUCAUUUUAGCUUUCUAGUAAAUAAAUACUCAACUAAGAUUGGUGUGGUAUGAACUCAUUGGUGGGACUCGGGUUUGUGCAGAUUCCCGGAUUAUGCGACGUUCAGAACGAGACUGUAGAGGUAACUGAUUAAUUAGCGGCUGUUGUAAAAUUAAUAUUCUGAUAUUCUUUGAGUUCAUUUAGGAAAUAGAAACUCAAUAAAACAACUUUUCCCAUGGUGCCCCAGGUUAAUGAGUUAAUAAUUGCUUGAUUCAGUUAAUCACGCAAUUAGAAACCUUUAAUCAUUCGAUGAGCAACAGUCGUCACAUUAACUAAUACAACGUCACGACAAGUGCUUCAACAAAGUACUGAGUAAAGGGUCUGAAUACUUAUGUAAAUGUGACAUUUCAGUUUUUCACAUUUUAAUAAAUUAGCAAACAUUUGUAAAAACCUGUUCUUGCUUUGUCAUUAUAGGGUAUUGUGUGUAGAUUGAUGAGGACUUUUAAAAUCCAUUUUAGAAUAAAUCUGUAACGUAACAAAAUGUGAAAAAAGUCAAGGGGUCUGAAUACUUCUGAAGGCACUGAAUAUCCAACGCCCUGAUACACUCUUAAUAACCUGCUCCCAAUUGCAUUGUGUUGGCCCUGUGUGUCCCUCCCAGACACGGUGGAGUAGAGGUUCAUCAGCAGUGACUUCUUCAACUUAAGCCUGUACAGCAAAGCGUGCCACCCUCUGUUUGAGAAGCGCAAACUCAUGUUUGUCUUCCUGCUGUGCACUUGAUGAACAAAAACAAGAGCAACAUGGUCAGAGGAGGAACUGAUGGUGUUUGGUCUGUAUUGUUGUGUUUACAGUGUAUCUAUGCUCAUACUCUGUCUGUGUCCCACCCUGCCAGUCUGAGUGGCGAUACGU